UCGGUAGAGGCAUUCUCAAUCCUUGCUUCAGCAUUCGACUGACUUUCAACAUUUAACCAUCUCGAAUCAGUCAAAGGUUGCAUUUGAGAACACCCAACACUUUUGAUGGCAUGUCUGAUAGCCCCUUCAUGGUAAACACCUUUUGUAUAUGAUGCAUCACGAGUCUUGAAACAUGGAGGUUUUACAAGCUUCGCGUAACAAGUAGAGACAAGGC
This 214-nucleotide long non-coding RNA is filed under the name Vigna radiata. RNAcentral's name for it is "long non-coding RNA (VRAD_LNC003407)". The record is from RNAcentral. Lineage: Eukaryota; Viridiplantae; Streptophyta; Magnoliopsida; Fabales; Fabaceae.